CAAUAGCGUAUAUUAAAGCUGUUGCGGUUAAAAAGCUCGUAGUUGGAUUUCUGUCAAGGACAACUGGUCCGCCCUCCGGGUGAGCACAUAGUUUGGUCUUGACAUCUUGCUGGAAGCUGUUGCUGCACUUGGCUGUGUGGCGCAGUGUUCAGCACUUUCACUUUGAGGAAAUUGGAGUGUUUCAAGCAGGCACAUGCCUUUGGACACAGUAGCAUGGAAUAAUUAGAUUGGGCUUUUGCUCCAAUUUGUCGGUUUCUGGAGCUGAGGUGAGUAUUAAUGGGGAUUGUUGGGGGCAUCCGAAUUCAGCCGUCGGAGGUGAAAUUCUUGGAUCUGCUAAAGACGGACAACUGCGAAAGCGUUUGCCCAGGAUGUUUUCAUUGA
Molecule: ribosomal RNA, 381 nt
Filed under: uncultured eukaryote
Lineage: Eukaryota
Description: partial 18S ribosomal RNA
Rfam family: Eukaryotic small subunit ribosomal RNA
Source: RNAcentral